Molecule: ribosomal RNA, 457 nt
Filed under: uncultured bacterium
Lineage: Bacteria
Description: partial 16S ribosomal RNA
Rfam family: Bacterial small subunit ribosomal RNA
Source: RNAcentral
UCUACGGGAGGCAGCAGUGGGGAAUAUUGCACAAUGGGGGAAACCCUGAUGCAGCGACGCCGCGUGAGUGAAGAAGUAUUUCGGUACGUAAAGCUCUAUCAGCAGGGAAGAAAAAAAGUCCUUUGGACUUUGGACGGUACCUGACCAAGAAGCCCCGGCUAACUACGUGCCAGCAGCCGCGGUAAUACGUAGGGGGCAAGCGUUAUCCGGAUUUACUGGGUGUAAAGGGGGCGCAGACGGCGAUGCAAGCCAGGAGUGAAAGCCCGGGGCCCAACCCCGGGACUGCUCUUGGAACUGCGUGGCUAGAGUGCAGGAGGGGCAGGCGGAAUUCCUGGUGUAGCGGUGAAAUGCGUAGAUAUCAGGAGGAACACCGGUGGCGAAGGCGGCCUGCUGGACUGCAACUGACGUUGAGGCCCGAAAGCGUGGGGAGCAAACAGGAUUAGAUACCCCAGUAGUC